This 199-nucleotide long non-coding RNA is filed under the name Trifolium pratense (red clover). RNAcentral's name for it is "long non-coding RNA (TPRA_LNC003183)". The record is from RNAcentral. Lineage: Eukaryota; Viridiplantae; Streptophyta; Magnoliopsida; Fabales; Fabaceae.
AAGAAGUUCAAGAAUGACAAGGAUGCAAAAAGCGGGAAAGAGGAUUAAGCUUACAAGACUUGAGUUAUAGUCUUAUUGAGUUAUAAUCCAUGUUAUUUUAGGAUCCUUAUGCGAGUAGUAGAAAAAGUUCUCUUGAAAAUAUAUCACACACUCACAAUAAUUUUUAUUUAAAUAUAAUUUUUCAUAAAAAUAUUUUGGC